GGGAGAGUUGCCAAAUGGGUAGUGCACUAGAUUCAGCAUCUGGAGACAUGGGUUCUAUUCCUGGCUCUGCCA
Molecule: non-coding RNA, 72 nt
Organism: Chelonia mydas (Green sea turtle)
Lineage: Eukaryota; Metazoa; Chordata; Testudines; Cheloniidae
Source: Rfam